Molecule: long non-coding RNA, 6933 nt
Organism: Haplochromis burtoni (Burton's mouthbrooder)
Lineage: Eukaryota; Metazoa; Chordata; Actinopteri; Cichliformes; Cichlidae
Exons: 2
Source: RefSeq, a predicted model, not a curated record
AGAUGCCUUGCGGGACGUGCGAGACGUCCACCUGUCAGACAGACAAUAGGGAUGACGCAUUAAACAAGCAAAAUCAAACGUUCUUCUUGCAUUGCAUUGUUUUAAACGUGUUAAGCUCACCUUUUCAUUCUGGAUGCUUGGCCCAGUGUUAAUUGAAUUGAAUUAGUUCCUCUGCUAUGCAACGUGGACAACUUUUCGAAUGCAUCUUAUUUACUCUUGCUUCUGCUGCUCUAACAAAGUGGAUGUUGGCUUUCCAACACAUCUCUUUCCACGCAAUGAAAGUAACAUCUUAUCCCACAAAUAGGAUUUCUUUCAAACUUCAGUUCUCGUAUCAUCAUCAUGAGCAUUUUACCCACGUCAAAUCUUUCCAGUCGUGUUGUUUGUCUUUUGGACUAGUGCUUCUGAUCCAAGUUAACCCACUCAUGCAGUCUUCACAGUCUGUGAGGUCAUGCGUUUAUUGUUGUGUUGCUUUGGCAAAUCAUCUGUCACGGGCCUGCAUUUUGAUGCUAUACUUGUUUACCAGCGAAAAUUCAGUUUCAAGGGAGUUUUGUGAAACCAUAAGAGCAGGCCUCACACUACAGGCCUGUUUUGCACUAGGAAUAUCUUUACCUGUUUAAUAAUGUUGUUUUGUUGUGAGAACUUUGUCGCACUCAUCAGAGAUGCGUUUUGUGAUUCAGGGUUGUUGUUCUUUUUUUAAGAAAAAGAGAGAAGAAGAAGAAAAGAAAAAGAAAAAAAGAAAUCAUCCGCAACCUUUGAAAUUUACUUCCUCUUCGCCGAACUCUGCAGCGUUUUACUUAUAUCGUGUUAUCCACUUUAUCAGAGCCUCUCACGUUGUCAGGUUAACGUAUUUUCAAGGACAUUGAGGAUUUGAAGGCAGCGGUUGAUUUGGGGUUUGACGCAAAAAUGAACCAAGCGGACUGUCUCAAGCAUAUGCUGGUAUGGUCGUCAAGCUGGAGGAAGAGAAGGGCGUCUUGAUGGUGACUUCACUGACACCAACAACUUCCUGACGCAACGCUACUGUAACAGCAGCGGGGAAAACAGCUCACCUUUUCAUCCGAUGAACCAACAUGAUCCUAUUUCUGCAUAGUAAGCCGUCUCAGCUGCUUUUCUCCUCUCCGUUCCAGGAACAGCGGCGGGCUCGUUGCACCAAAGAAUAGUCUGCUUAUGCUUAUAUUUUUCACAUCAUAGAAAGUGCCAUCCGUUACGCCGUACUUGUUGCACAGCUUUGCGAUCCCCUUUGUUGUUGGACAACGGGAAAUCGGAUUACCUGGGUUUCAAGUGUGCCCCAAAAUUAUUCUUCAAUCUUUUCUGUUGGCGCGGAGAAAGUGAACUUUUCUACAAAUCUAUGACAGAAAAUAACACAUCGAGGGAGAGCAAAUGGUGGAUGGGAUUAUUGCUCAAAUGCAGUCCAGCUUUUACGCUGAAGGAAAGCUGAAUUCGUUUGACAGCACAGGGUUGUUGUUUUUUUCUUUCUUUCUUUGAGUGGUAGAAAACUGGAGGACUCCUACUCCUUGCUGUGGGGGUAACGCGUUACUGAGCAACGCGUUACCGCCCUGCACUGUCCGGAAACUAGUUUGAAGUUGAAAAGGCGUGUAGGCUGCACGCGUUCUGCUUUUGAAGACCGUGGCUCGGCGAAGUAACAAAGAGAAAGCCCGUCUCUGCUGUGCGGCUCUGUGCAGGAACUCAAUUUACCGAGACGCGCUGUAUGCAAAUGCACCCGUUCCUCUACACGCGCACGGGCGCACCGACCUGUAGUAGCCUGAUCUUGGACAGCCUAUCGGACCCGGGCACCGUGUGCCUUGUAGCCUUGUCUGCUUCACUUUGAAGAGAUGCUGGUCGUCCCGGACACGUGAGCUGAGCUGUUGAGAAGACUUUGUGGCGGAUUUGGAUGAGGGUUUUUUUUUUUCUCUGUGCGUUAAUGGCCAGGCGUGCGAACUAGGCUAUGGUGCGCUCAGAUGUGUGCGUAUGUAUGUGUGUGUGUGUGUGUGUGUGUUUUUUUUUCUUUCUCUCCCUCGGUCGCUCUGUGUAUCCACCGCUCCGCCUCCUCCCCCCUUUUCGCAACAUUGACGCAACCAAAAAUACUGGAACAAAAGAAACAACUUCCUUGAAGCUUUGCUGAAACUGCACUUAGUCGGUGAAUAGAAGGUUGUUGUCAACUUGCCUGGAUGAAAAUGUCGAUGUGAGGGUGUCACCAGUGGCCGGCUGGCAACGAGAGAGAUGCAGUCGAUUCCUCUGAAACGCGCCCAGGCUUAUCCAAAAGGAACAAAGCAGUUCUUUAUUGGUCGCAUCCUUGGACUACUGUGAACAGUAAAACUAUUCAUCACCUUCUGAGUUGCUCUUAAACAGCUCUUAAAGGUAAUCUGCCUCUUUUUUCUUUUUUUUUAAUUAUUUUUUUUCUUCCCCCAUGACAGUUGAUUCCUUUGUUGUUUUGUGGACUGAUCUAUUUUGUGUGGAGAUGAUGAAAAGAUCUCAUGCUGUGUAAAUAUUGCCCAGUAGUUGGUGAAACAUUUCAUCAUUAAUUGUAAAGCUGUGGCACAGUGAACACAGUAUAUUUUUACCCUGUGCAGUUGUCUUGCCAUAUGCAGAACAACAAUGAUUUGGCUAGGCUAAUCCCUGAUGUUUAUCUGGCUUACAUGCUACAUGAAACGGAUUUGUAAUUGGGUAAGGAUAUAGCUUGCUUGUAAAAUGGAGAAGAAAAUGUCUUAGUGUGGUUCCAUGCACUGUAACUCUGGGAUGGCCAAAUAGUUUUAAUCAGUGAUAUUUUUGCAAAGACCUUGUCACAUGGAUGGAUGUGAUUGCUGUUCCCUGUUUUUUUUCGCAGUUGAUGAUUUCAAUGCGGAUCUCCCUUUAUUUUGUGCUUGUACUUGCAGAAUACUCUGUAAAACAGACCAGAAGAGGCUAACCCAGACCACUUGAUCUGGGGAGGUGAUGGGUUGUCAUGUCCAUGUCCCUUUUGCCCUACUGGGUGUAGGAGGUUACUUGACCUUUCAACCUUGGGGUCAGGUGACUCUUUAAGGUCAUUGUAUGGGUAGCAAGUGUCUGUAGGAAUGGGUUAAAAAGGCUGAGCAGAGAAGAUGACAUGUCUGGGCAUGCUUCCUUUAAAGGAGAGAGAGAAAAAUAGGGAGAGGUUGGAGUCAGUGAUGUGAACAGUUCCACCUGGACUUGGAAAGAAAUGAUCAGCUUAUAAGGAAAUUGCACAACUUACCUGGUUUGUUUCUUUGUGUGCUUUUUGUUAAGUAUUUUAGGUUUGUUUGAUUGCAACUUCAGUGUAGAUCAGGCUGUUCUGCAAAAAAAAAUGGUGUGUACAAACUAAAUAUGAGAUGAGAAAAUUAUACAUGAUUAUUCUGCAGGAAAGUAGAUCCACUGUAACAAUAGUGGGCUGUCAUUGUUUUUAUAACUAGCAAAACCUUUUUGUAAAUCAGUGAAUUAAUUUUUCUCAUAAAUUUAUUUAUUUAUUUUUUAUGAUUUUAAAAACAAUGUCUGAUGUCAUUUCUCACCUGCAGCUUUGCAGAGCACACUCAUGUCUUCUGUCAAUUUUUUUUAUUUUAUUUUAUUUGAAUGGCUAUUGCAAGUUAUUCCGUUUACAAAGCUUAAAAAUGGCAAAUCCCUGUGAUCGGGAAGUAAGUGUGUGUGUAGCAUUUCUGUUUGAAGACUAGUGUCUAAUUUUUGUUGCACUCCUAACAGGCAGUGUGGACUUUAUUAGCCUAGGACUAAAACAAGAAUUUGCCCCACAAAUCUGGCAAUUGCACAGUCCUGGUUUGUAGUUUUAAAUUAACAGCAGCUUCAAAUGUCUUAAAACUCUGUUUUCUUGGUAACAAUCUUAUUUUUAUUCUUUUUUGUCAUUUAGGUGCAAAAAAUAUUUUAGGUAUGCAUGAUAUCAACUGUAAAAUUUGAAUUGAGGAAGUGUUUAAUUUCAUACUGACUUAGCUUGUACUAUGGUUUUGGGUUUUUUUUGUUUUUUUUGUUUUUUUUCUCCAUGUGUUUUUUUUUUUUAAUGUUAGGCAAUAAGGGACAUUAUCUGUGAAUUACAGGCUAGACUUCUACUUAUAAACUGGGUAAGUAGAAGAGGAAAGUGGAAAGGGGGCAAAAAAAAUACACCACACUAAGUGGUCUUCACUGUUUUUCCACCCACCUGCCACUCUCAGGUAGGUCUGGCUGAGUUGUGCUGUUGCACCUGUGUUGACUACAUUGGGUUACGCAAUUGGGCUGUAAUCAUGAAUGCCUCUCAUUAAUAAAGGUGUUUAAUUUGCCUAAAGUCAGAAUCACGCGAUGUCCUUUAGAUAUCAGAAACUUUGCGGUAAUGGCACAGGAGGUAAAAUCAACAUUUCUUUGCAGGCUGGUAUAACAAGUUUUAGUUUGCCAGUCAUCAUAGUUCAAGUUGCAUCUGUUUAACACUUUAUUGAGAAAUACAACAUGUUUGGGGAUUUUUAAAGUCAAAUUCAAAUUAAAGACUUUUGUCUGUUACAGUAUAACCGAUGAAAGCAGUGCCUUUGUGCCACUAUUGUUGUUAUCCCUACUCACACCUUCAUUAUCACAUGAAGAAAAAUGUUUGUGGCUUUUCUUUUCUUUUUAGUCUUUCAUGUGAACUAGACUGGAGUUUGUGUGAGAAAGAAAACAACUGCCGAACUUAUCAGUGUCUUUUUGGAGAGGAAGUAUGCAAGAGACUUUAUCAGAUUCAGGCUAUCAUGUCCAUUUCAGACUAAGGUCAUAAUUACAGGUCCAUUGAGACCUCUAGUGGUAACAAUUGUUGGCCUAAAUCUCCCAUGGGAUUAUUAUCGGGAUAAUGUUUGUUUUAACACCUUCUACAUGUUUUAAGAUUUAAAUGUUUUGUUGACAUUUACUACAGCAGCCUAAAACUUUUUACAUCAAGGGUGGCAUAUUCUUCAGUUGAAAUAACUGGAAGAUGUUUUAUUUGCUGAGCUGUUGGGGGGGAAAGUUGUUGUUGUUGUUGGUUUUUUUGUUUGUUUGUUUGUUUGUUUGUUUUUUUUUGCAUUUGCAUUUGCUUUCAUCUGCAUUUCAGAUGACCUAUUGUGUGCUGGCUCCUGAAAAGGCAAAAUAUCUGUUAGUAUUCAUGUGAAUUUUAUAUUUGUGGUCUCUCCAUAUGACCCCCUUUCUUUGUUUGAAUUUUAAUUUUUUAAAGUAAGCUAUUAUUCUUAUUCUUUUGAUUUUGCCCUAGUUUAAGAUGAAUUUUAAACCUAAGUUAUUUUCAGUAGUUUCUAUGGAGCAUGAACAGUGAACUGCACUAUAUGCUAGCUUUACACUUGGAUGUUUGAACAUCUGCCAGUAGCACUAAUGGGAGUGGAAUGAAAAUGCAACAAUAGUUUGCAAGUUUACAUUAGGGAGAAAUUUAGUAAUGAUUUCUGACUUUUAGAAAAGUGCCUUGUCAAAUAGUUUUACACUGCUGACAUAAAUCAGUCCUUGCCUUAUUUGCAAGGGUGUAAAUAAAUAGUCAUUUAAUUUUGACUCCUACUUGUGUUUUUUUUUUUUAUAAAAGUAGAUUGCAAAAUCUUUAAACUUCAGAUGUAAAACUAUAAGUACAUUACGAAGUCUGUGGACAUUGGUGCUCCUAUAAGCUGCUUGGCUCAAAGUUGAGGGGAAUCCUAAUUGUAGAGCAUACAAUAAUAUUUCUGUAUUUUAAAUGUGGCAACAGUUUGGGGAAUAAGUCUUCUAGUUUCAACAGUGCUUCAUGCAUUGAGCAAUAUUUAUAAAGAAAUAUAUUUCCAAGUUUUGUGUGGAAGAACUCCACUGGCCUACACACAGCUCUGACCUCAAUCCCUUGGAACAGCUUGUGGAUGAACUGGAGGCCGACAGCUAGCCAAGGGUCCAGGCCUUAUCAUCCAGCAUCAUUGUCCGAUCUUACAUUGUGGCUAAACUGGUGCAAAUCUUGGCAGCCAGGCUUUGAAAUUGUGAUAAGUGAUUUCCUGGAAGAGUGCAGCAGCUUAGUAAUGCCCAUACAGUUUUGAGAUGAGGCUUUCAACAAACGCAAGAGUGUGAAGCUCUCCUGUCCACAUACUUUUCAGCACAAAGAACACUUUAAUACUUAAUGUUAAUAUUUUGAGAAUGACUUCUGUAUUAUAUUAAACCUUUUCUCUCUCUCUUUUUCUUUUUGUUUUGUGUGUUUCAGAUGCCGAGUCUCCAUGGCCACUUUAGGAGAAGACUGGAAACUUCAAUCUGAUUCUGGUGAUCACCUGAAUGUCUUUAGGUGGUUUAAAUAAUAGGUAAUGGCUCUGUAUCCAUCCGUAAACAUGUGCUAAGGAUUAGAAGGCCAGAAGAUGAAGACGGCGCAAAUAACACAGAAGCAGAGACUGUUUUGAAUGGAAGGACCGCAGCAGCAGUUCUGGUGAUGUUGUAGCAGCACGGAAUGGUUUGUGGGUUAUACUGAGAUGCAGGCCAUACUGUGCUGCCGCACUAAAGCCUGAAUAUACUACAUAGCUAUUAUCUCACAGUCUCUCCACCAAACAUACUGUUGCAGUGAAAGCUUGAGGUAACAGGUAACAUACUGUCAUUUUUGCAAAAAACAGUAGUCUUUACUGACUUGAAUUAAUUUCUCAUAGCCUUUCUUCUCCCUCCCCCCAGCUGUGAUGAGAAAGUUGUUUGGGCUUCCCCAUUCUCAUUUUCUGGUCGCCUUACUGUAGCAGCACGUAAAUAUUGGAGUUAACACUCUAGCUGAAGUCUCCAGUAUUGAUCGUACUGCUGAAGCAAAGCGGGCCACUCACAAUCACAGCAACUAACCACCACUGAGUGUACUCGGACCACUCAGGUGGUGGCAAACAGAGGCUGGCCUUUAGAAAUGUUUACAGGUACAGGUUGACUCACUGAUUCUUACUUAAUGUCUAUUCCAUAUUGUAUUGACAUGUAAAAUAUGUAUACUACAUUUUAUUACACUUCACUAUUAUGUGUAAACCUUUUGAGAAUAAAAACGUUUUAAUUCUG